This 76-nucleotide transfer RNA is filed under the name Haliea sp. RNAcentral describes it as "tRNA-Thr". It matches the Rfam family "tRNA". Rfam says of the family: Transfer RNA (tRNA) molecules are approximately 80 nucleotides in length. The record is from RNAcentral. RNAcentral also lists the same sequence under 4 other names. Lineage: Bacteria; Pseudomonadati; Pseudomonadota; Gammaproteobacteria; Cellvibrionales; Halieaceae.
GCCGACAUAGCUCAGCUGGUAGAGCAACGCAUUCGUAAUGCGUAGGUCCGGCGUUCGACUCGCCGUGUCGGCACCA